CCUACGGGGGGCAGCAGUGGGGAAUAUUGCACAAUGGGGGAAACCCUGAUGCAGCAACGCCGCGUGAGUGAAGAAGUAUUUCGGUAUGUAAAGCUCUAUCAGCAGGGAAGAAGAAAGACGGUACCUGACUAAGAAGCCCCGGCUAACUACGUGCCAGCAGCCGCGGUAAUACGUAGGGGGCAAGCGUUAUCCGGAUUUACUGGGUGUAAAGGGAGCGUAGACGGCUGUGCAAGUCUGAAGUGAAAGCCCGUGGCUCAACCGCGGAACUGCUUUGGAAACUGUAUAGCUUGAGUACUGGAGAGGUAUGCGGAAUGCGCAGUGUAGCGGUGAAAUGCUUAGAUAUUGCGCAGAACUCCGAUUGCGAAGGCAGCAUACCGGCGGCGAUCUGACGCUGAGGCACGAAAGCGUGGGUAUCGAACAGGAUUAGAUACCCGAGUAGUC
Molecule: ribosomal RNA, 441 nt
Filed under: uncultured bacterium
Lineage: Bacteria
Description: partial 16S ribosomal RNA
Rfam family: Bacterial small subunit ribosomal RNA
Source: RNAcentral